AGCAGCCGCGGUAAUACGGAGGGGGCUAGCGUUAUCCGGAGUUACUGGGCGUAAAGGGUGCGUAGGCGGUCUUUCAAGUCAGGAGUGAAAGGCUACGGCUCAACCGUAGUAAGCUCUUGAAACUGGGAGACUUGAGUGCAGGAGAGGAGGGUGGAAUUCCUAGUGUAGCGGUGAAAUGCGUAGAUAUUAGGAGGAACACCAGUUGCGAAGGCGGCUCUCUGGACUGUAACUGACGCUGAGGCACGAAAGCGUGGGGAGCAAACAGGAUUAGAUACCCUGGUAGUCCACGCUGUAAACGAUGAGUACUAGGUGUCGGGGGUUACCCCC
This 327-nucleotide ribosomal RNA is filed under the name Clostridioides difficile. RNAcentral describes it as "bacterial SSU rRNA". It matches the Rfam family "Bacterial small subunit ribosomal RNA", at positions 510 to 841 of the family's 1533-position model. The record is from RNAcentral. Lineage: Bacteria; Bacillati; Bacillota; Clostridia; Peptostreptococcales; Peptostreptococcaceae.